RNAcentral lists this transfer RNA (68 nucleotides) under Alosa alosa (allis shad). Its description in RNAcentral is "tRNA-OTHER". Lineage: Eukaryota; Metazoa; Chordata; Actinopteri; Clupeiformes; Clupeidae. The record is from RNAcentral.
GCAUUGGUGGUUCAGUGGUAGAAUUUCGCCUGCCAUCGCUGAGGCCCGGUUCAUUCCCCGCCAAUGCA